RNAcentral lists this ribosomal RNA (565 nucleotides) under Enterobacter hormaechei. RNAcentral's name for it is "bacterial SSU rRNA". It matches the Rfam family "Bacterial small subunit ribosomal RNA", at positions 862 to 1431 of the family's 1533-position model. Lineage: Bacteria; Pseudomonadati; Pseudomonadota; Gammaproteobacteria; Enterobacterales; Enterobacteriaceae. The record is from RNAcentral.
AAGUCGACCGCCUGGGGAGUACGGCCGCAAGGUUAAAACUCAAAUGAAUUGACGGGGGCCCGCACAAGCGGUGGAGCAUGUGGUUUAAUUCGAUGCAACGCGAAGAACCUUCCUACUCUUGACAUCCAGAGAACUUAGCAGAGAUGCUUUGGUGCUUCGGGAACUCUGAGACAGGUGCUGCAUGGCUGUCGUCAGCUCGUGUUGUGAAAUGUUGGGUUAAGUCCCGCAACGAGCGCAACCCUUAUCCUUUGUUGCCAGCGGUUCGGCCGGGAACUCAAAGGAGACUGCCAGUGAUAAACUGGAGGAAGGUGGGGAUGACGUCAAGUCAUCAUGGCCCUUACGAGUAGGGCUACACACGUGCUACAAUGGCGCAUACAAAGAGAAGCGACCUCGCGAGAGCAAGCGGACCUCAUAAAGUGCGUCGUAGUCCGGAUUGGAGUCUGCAACUCGACUCCAUGAAGUCGGAAUCGCUAGUAAUCGUGGAUCAGAAUGCCACGGUGAAUACGUUCCCGGGCCUGUACACACCGCCCGUCACACCAUGGGAGUGGGUGCAAAAGAAGUAGGU